Long non-coding RNA from Carassius gibelio (silver crucian carp), 829 nucleotides. RefSeq lists it as uncharacterized. Lineage: Eukaryota; Metazoa; Chordata; Actinopteri; Cypriniformes; Cyprinidae. The record is from RefSeq and is a predicted model, not a curated record. The transcript has 3 exons.
UUGUGUUCACAGUUAUGCGGAGCAACUGUUUAACCCAACAUCUCUGCUUUUCAUAGGAUUAUUGCGUUAUUGUAAAAAAUAUUUAUUUUGACUGACAUCACCUUGUCCUUUGGGGUGACUAGUAAGCAGAUGUCGAGGUAAAUGGACAAAAGGAAGAGAUGGGUGGACUUUUCUGGAGAAGUACACAGUGCUCAAAAUCUUUGUGCAUACUUUUAACUCUCUGGUCAGUUGGGGUAAUUUGGUACCUAUUCUGAGAAAAACAUAUUUCCCACUGUGUUACACGACCUGCCUGUCUCUCACUGAUCAAAUCACUAUUACCAGGUGACCCAACAGUGACAAUAAACUUUUGGUGUAACAAGCAAGAGGACAGGGAAGCAUCUGCUGUCUAUAAGGGUAAAAUUACAGGUUAUGAAAAGAAGCCCAUGGACCUCUGGGAGAAAAAAACGUGUUCCCUGACAAAAGCCUGAAAUCUCCAACAUUAUAACAUUUACUUAUGUUGUCUGUAUGAUUUUCCCAUUCUUGUUGUUUUGUAUUUUUUAGGCACUUAAAAAAUUCUUUAUACUUCAUGGUAUUUUUCAAUUAAAAAUAAUAAUUCAACUGAACCAUGCUUCUUAUAAGCUAUAUAGUUAAAAUGGUUCACUUACACAUGGUUACACUUAGUGGUGUACUUCCAGUUCUUUGACUGUGUCACAGCUCAGUGUCAUGCCGUGUGUUCUACAUUCCUUUCCUGGAGAAAACAAAAUUAAAGGAAAAUUUAUAAAGCAAAAAUUCUAGCUUUUAUGUUCCUUAACAAAAUGACAAGUAAAUACAAAGUUUAAUAUCAACAUAA